CCUACGGGGGGCAGCAGUGAGGAAUAUUGGUCAAUGGACGAGAGUCUGAACCAGCCAAGUAGCGUGAAGGAUGACUGCCCUAUGGGUUGUAAACUUCUUUUAUAUGGGAAUAAAACGUUCCACGUGUGGGAUUUUGUAUGUACCAUAUGAAUAAGGAUCGGCUAACUCCGUGCCAGCAGCCGCGGUAAUACGGAGGGUGCAAGCGUUACUCGGAAUCACUGGGCGUAAAGAGCGCGUAGGCGGGUUAUCAAGUCAGCGGUAAAAUCGUGGAGCUCAACUCCAUCCAGCCGUUGAAACUGAUGAUCUUGAGUGGGCGAGAAGUAUGCGGAAUGCGUGGUGUAGCGGUGAAAUGCAUAGAUAUCACGCAGAACUCCGAUUGCGAAGGCAGCAUACCGGCGCCCGACUGACGCUGAAGCACGAAAGCGUGGGUAUCGAACAGGAUUAGAUACCCUAGUAGUC
RNAcentral lists this ribosomal RNA (459 nucleotides) under uncultured bacterium. Its description in RNAcentral is "partial 16S ribosomal RNA". It matches the Rfam family "Bacterial small subunit ribosomal RNA", at positions 338 to 795 of the family's 1533-position model. The record is from RNAcentral.